Molecule: ribosomal RNA, 475 nt
Filed under: uncultured bacterium
Lineage: Bacteria
Description: bacterial SSU rRNA
Rfam family: Bacterial small subunit ribosomal RNA
Source: RNAcentral
ACUCCUACGGGAGGCAGCAGUGGGGAAUAUUGCACAAUGGGCGCAAGCCUGAUGCAGCCAUGCCGCGUGUGUGAAGAAGGCCUGAGGGUUGUAAAGCACUUUCAACUGUGAGGAUUGGGAUUUUGGUUAAUACCCGAGAUCCUUGACGUUAGCAGUAGAAGAAGCACCGGCUAACUCCGUGCCAGCAGCCGCGGUAAUACGGAGGGUGCGAGCGUUAAUCGGAAUUACUGGGCGUAAAGCGCAUGCAGGUGGUUUGUUAAGUCAGAUGUGAAAGCCCGGGGCUCAACCUCGGAAUUGCAUUUGAAACUGGCAGACUAGAGUACUGUAGAGGGGGGUAGAAUUUCAGGUGUAGCGGUGAAAUGCGUAGAGAUCUGAAGGAAUACCGGUGGCGAAGGCGGCCCCCUGGACAGAUACUGACACUCAGAUGCGAAAGCGUGGGGAGCAAACAGGAUUAGAUACCCUGGUAGCUACGAGU